Molecule: long non-coding RNA, 1155 nt
Organism: Pogoniulus pusillus (Red-fronted tinkerbird)
Lineage: Eukaryota; Metazoa; Chordata; Aves; Piciformes; Lybiidae
Exons: 3
Source: RefSeq, a predicted model, not a curated record
GGAGACAACAUCUUUCUCACCAUUUUACAACACAAUCGUAAAUUCACAACACAGCAUUUUACUGCUGAGUUACAAGUGUUGGAGACAAUCAGUCCAGCCAGAACCACUCAUAGAAUGGAAAAGGACAAGUUUUCUGCUUCCUGAGUUCUGGAAAGGUCAAUGUGUAUUAAUCAUGGUUGUUCUUUGAUAAACAGAGCAUCUGUUAGCUGUGGAUGCAAGAGGAGACCUGAAUGACCUGUGGCCUUGAAGGAGGCAUGUGCAGCUAUUGAGGUCUGGCCUGUACCCAGAGACUGUGCUCUCCAAAGCUGUCUGGAGUGGACACUGGGUCCUGUGGCUCUCAGCUGGGGCAGUGUCAGCUUAACACAGUGGGUCAGCUUGGCGAAGAGGUCAACAAGUGAAGCACUUGUUGCCUACCUGUGUGAUGGACACAGCUCAUGCUGGAGCUGCCUUGUUACUUGUAGCUGGGUGUGACAUUUUUGCAGUGACUAGAGAAAGCCAGAAGGUUUUAGUUUGGGGUGCACCAUUUUUGCCAGUGGUCCACACUGCAUGCCUUGUAUUUGUGAGCCAAGGCACCAUUUGAUCUUUCAGGCAAGACUCUGCAGACAGCUACGUCCAGCAUCAUGGCAAGCACAGAGACUGUUCAGAGAUGGAAGAGGGAACAGACUAUUGCAAAAGCUCAUUUUAUUAUGGGGCUUCCUACUCCCCUUUGUGCUGCUUCUCCCUCUGAAUUCAGCCUUCUCUAGCAUAUAUUUCUGCUCACCUCUUGGGUAUGCUUUUCUCCAGUCUCACACUCCUUUUUGAGAAAGAAGACAGAAUGAAACAAAUUUAUUCUACUUCCAUUCAGUCAGAACCAUUGUUGGAAGGAUGAGAAUUCAAGCUCUUGCUUACAACUGGUAAAUGUAGACCGUGACCUCAGGGUACAGCUUAGUGCUCUGCACGUUACUGACCAAUGCUGCUGUUGCUGAGUGCAGCUGCUGACUUAGCUUCUUUCCUUGCUUGCUUUGCAUGAAAAACUUUUUUGUAACUGUUCUGUAACCAUCUUAUUCCUAGACUUCAGCACAUAUAUCUGGAAACACAACUGUCCAGGCAGAUUCUUCUUCUUGGGUCUCUAGAGAGAUUUUUAUAUCCAUAUCACCUCUUACGCUGCCACUAGGA